This 164-nucleotide ribosomal RNA is filed under the name Strobilanthes imbricata. RNAcentral's name for it is "5.8S ribosomal RNA". It matches the Rfam family "5.8S ribosomal RNA". Rfam says of the family: 5.8S ribosomal RNA (5.8S rRNA) is a component of the large subunit of the eukaryotic ribosome. The record is from RNAcentral. Lineage: Eukaryota; Viridiplantae; Streptophyta; Magnoliopsida; Lamiales; Acanthaceae.
UAACGACUCUCGGCAACGGAUAUMUCGGCUCUCGCAUCGAUGAAGAAYGUAGCGAAAUGCGAUACUUGGUGUGAAUUGCAGAAUCCCGUGAACCAUCGAGUCUUUGAACGCAAGUUGCGCCCGAAGCCUUCGGGCCGAGGGCACGCCUGCCUGGGCGUCACGCA